CAAUAGCGUAUAUUAAAGUUGUUGCAGUUAAAAAGCUCGUAGUUGGAUUUCUGGUGGGAGCGAUCGGUCUGGCGCUUAGCGCGAGUACUUGCAUCGUCUCCGACCAUCCUUGGGGAGAGUCUGUCUGGCAUUAAGUUGUCGGGCAGAGGAUCCUCAUCGUUUACUGUGAAAAAAUUAGAGUGUUCAAAGCAGGCUUAUGCCGUUGAAUAUAUUAGCAUGGAAUAAUAAGAUAGGACUUUGGUACUAUUUUGUUGGUUUGCGCACCAAAGUAAUGAUUAAUAGGGACAGUUGGGGGUAUUCGUAUUCCGUUGUCAGAGGUGAAAUUCUUGGAUUUACGGAAGACGAACUACUGCGAAAGCAUUUACCAAGGAUGUUUUCAUUAA
RNAcentral lists this ribosomal RNA (383 nucleotides) under uncultured eukaryote. RNAcentral describes it as "partial 18S ribosomal RNA". It matches the Rfam family "Eukaryotic small subunit ribosomal RNA", at positions 592 to 976 of the family's 1831-position model. The record is from RNAcentral.